CCUCUCUCUGAAGGGGAGAUAACCUCCUACGUGCUCAAAGGGCUGGACAUCGAUUACAAUCCGGUGAUUUCAGCCCUGGCUGCACGCGUUGAGCCGGUGACCGUCCAAGAACUCUACAAUUAGCUGCUGAGUUUUGAAG
Triticum aestivum (bread wheat) is the source of this 139-nucleotide non-coding RNA. Lineage: Eukaryota; Viridiplantae; Streptophyta; Magnoliopsida; Poales; Poaceae. The record is from Rfam.